AUGGUGGGCACUCUAGAAUGACUGCCGGUGACAAACCGGAGGAAGGCGGGGAUGACGUCAAAUCAUCAUGCCCCUUAUGACCUGGGCUACACACGUACUACAAUGGUCGAUACAACGGGAAGCGAAGCCGCGAGGUGGAGCCAAUCCUAUCAAAGUCGAUCUCAGUUCGGAUUGCAGGCUGCAACUCGCCUGCAUGAAGUCGGAAUUGCUAGUAAUCGCGGAUCAGCAUGCCGCGGUGAAUACGUUCCCGGGUCUUGUACACACCGCCCGUCACACCACGAGAGUUUACAACACCCGAAGUCG
RNAcentral lists this ribosomal RNA (303 nucleotides) under Paenibacillus sp. S231. Its description in RNAcentral is "bacterial SSU rRNA". It matches the Rfam family "Bacterial small subunit ribosomal RNA", at positions 1128 to 1429 of the family's 1533-position model. Lineage: Bacteria; Bacillati; Bacillota; Bacilli; Caryophanales; Paenibacillaceae. The record is from RNAcentral.